UCUUACACAAGUCAUACAAUGUAUUGUACAGAGGGUUGCCAACCCGCGAGGGGGAGCUAAUCCCAUAAAGCCAGUCGUAGUCCGGAUCGCAGUCUGCAACUCGACUGCGUGAAGUCGGAAUCGCUAGUAAUCGCGGAUCAGAAUGUCGCGGUGAAUACGUUCCCGGGUCUUGUACACACCGCCCGUCACACCAUGGGAGCGGGUUCUGCCAGAAGUAGGUAGCCUAACCGUAAGGAGGGCGCUUACCACGGCAGGGUUCGUGACUGGGGA
RNAcentral lists this ribosomal RNA (270 nucleotides) under uncultured Acidovorax sp. RNAcentral's name for it is "partial 16S ribosomal RNA". It matches the Rfam family "Bacterial small subunit ribosomal RNA", at positions 1212 to 1481 of the family's 1533-position model. The record is from RNAcentral. Lineage: Bacteria; Pseudomonadati; Pseudomonadota; Betaproteobacteria; Burkholderiales; Comamonadaceae.